AUUGAACGCUGGCGGCAUGCUUUACACAUGCAAGUCGAACGGUAACAGGCCUUCGGGUGCUGACGAGUGGCGAACGGGUGAGUAAUGCAUCGGAACGUGCCCAGAGGUGGGGGAUAACGCAGCGAAAGCUGUGCUAAUACCGCAUGUGAUCUGAGGAUGAAAGCGGGGGACCAGGCAGCAAUGUUUGGCCUCGCGCCUUUGGAGCGGCCGAUGUCAGAUUAGGUAGUUGGUGGGGUAAAGGCCUACCAAGCCGACGAUCUGUAGCUGGUCUGAGAGGACGACCAGCCACACUGGGACUGAGACACGGCCCAGACUCCUACGGGAGGCAGCAGUGGGGAAUUUUGGACAAUGGGCGCAAGCCUGAUCCAGCAAUGCCGCGUGCGGGAACAAGGCCUUCGGGUUGUAAACCGCUUUUGUACGGAACGAAAAGGCUCUGGCUAAUACCUGGGGCUGAUGACGGUACCGUAAGAAUAAGCACCGGCUAACUACGUG
This 492-nucleotide ribosomal RNA is filed under the name uncultured bacterium. RNAcentral describes it as "partial 16S ribosomal RNA". It matches the Rfam family "Bacterial small subunit ribosomal RNA", at positions 30 to 507 of the family's 1533-position model. The record is from RNAcentral.